GAUGAAGAACGCAGCGAAAUGCGAUACUUGGUGUGAAUUGCAGAAUCCCGUGAACCAUCGAGUCUUUGAACGCAAGUUGCGCCCGAAGCCAUUAGGCCGAGGGCACGCCUGCCUGGGCGUCACACGUCGUUGCCCCCCCAUCUACUCCUUCGGGAUUGCGGGGGGCGGAUGAUGGCCUCCCGUGCGCCUCGCCGCGCGGUUGGCAUAAAUGCCAAGUCCUCGGCGACGCACGCCACGACAAUCGGUGGUUGCGAAACCUCGGUUGCCCGUCGUGUGCGGUCGUCGCGCAUCGAGGGCUCGAAAAAAUUGCCGGGUUCCGGCUCGGCUUUCAACGCGACCCCAGGUCAGGCGGGGUUACUCGCUGAAUUUAAGCAUAUCAAUAAGCGGAGGA
This 391-nucleotide unclassified non-coding RNA is filed under the name soil metagenome. Its description in RNAcentral is "partial contains 5.8S ribosomal RNA, internal transcribed spacer 2, and large subunit ribosomal RNA". The stretch from base 1 to 122 matches the Rfam family "5.8S ribosomal RNA", at positions 35 to 154 of the family's 154-position model. The record is from RNAcentral.